RNAcentral lists this ribosomal RNA (233 nucleotides) under uncultured bacterium. RNAcentral's name for it is "partial 16S ribosomal RNA". It matches the Rfam family "Bacterial small subunit ribosomal RNA", at positions 100 to 334 of the family's 1533-position model. The record is from RNAcentral.
CGGGACGGGUGAGUAAUGUCUAGGGAAACUGCCGAUGGAGGGGGAUAACUACUGGAAACGGUAGCUAAUACCGCAUAACGUCGCAAGACCAAAGAGGGGGACCUUCGGGCCUCUUGCCAUCGGAUGUGCCCAGAUGGGAUUAGCUAGUAGGUGGGGUAAAGGCUCACCUAGGCGACGAUCCCUAGCUGGUCUGAGAGGAUGACCAGCCACACUGGAACUGAGACACGGUCCAG